UAAAAAUCUAUUUAUUUUAGGUAGUAACAGAUUUCUUGAAACCUAAAGAAUUUGGCGGUAUUUUAAAUAAUUAGAGGAACCUGUUAAAUAAAUGAUAAUCCACAACAUAUCUUACCUUAAUUAAGUUUGUAUACCGUUGUUUUCAGAUUAUAUUUAAAAAUUAUAAUCAAAAUUAAUUAAUUUUCGUAAAUCAAAUCAAGGUGCAGCACAUUUAGGUCUUAAUGGGUUACAAUAUAUUUAUAUACACGAAUUAAUUAUGAAAAUGUUUUUGAAGGUGGAUUUAAAAGUAAUUUAAAAUUAAAAUGUUUAGAUGAAUAAAAAUUUAAAAUAUGC
RNAcentral lists this ribosomal RNA (333 nucleotides) under Brachistosternus sp. 6 LP-2016. RNAcentral describes it as "partial 12S ribosomal RNA". Lineage: Eukaryota; Metazoa; Arthropoda; Arachnida; Scorpiones; Bothriuridae. The record is from RNAcentral.